GGGGAUGUUCCGGUUUCGACGGGCAGGAGUAAUCUUGUGCUGCAGGCAGGCGUGAAGGUGCCUUAAACUGACAAAACAAUAACUGCAAAAGUUGCAAAACGUCGUGAAGAGGAAUCUUCCGAAGCAGUUAGCCUCGCUGCUUAAUGCGAGACCGGCACUUGCGGUGUGCUGUUCCUAACGCCGUAAACUGCUGUCACAGACAGGGACUUGCUUUGCACGGAGCGCAGGCCGUGUACGGGACUUCUUUCUGCGAUACGGAAAGGACGCCUUUGAAGCCGCUACCCUUUCCCGACAAACACCUCGCUUCAAUAAGCCUGUAGAGGUGCCUGGUUAACUUGUUCGGACGGGGGUUCAAUUCCCCCCAUCUCCAAAA
This 373-nucleotide transfer-messenger RNA is filed under the name Treponema sp. It matches the Rfam family "transfer-messenger RNA". From Rfam's summary of the family: Bacterial tmRNA, also known as 10Sa RNA or SsrA, is named for its dual tRNA and mRNA-like properties. Its role is to liberate the mRNA from a stalled ribosome. The record is from RNAcentral. RNAcentral also lists the same sequence under 1 other name. Lineage: Bacteria; Pseudomonadati; Spirochaetota; Spirochaetia; Treponematales; Treponemataceae.